Molecule: transfer RNA, 67 nt
Filed under: Marmota monax (woodchuck)
Lineage: Eukaryota; Metazoa; Chordata; Mammalia; Rodentia; Sciuridae
Description: tRNA.Ala
Source: RNAcentral
GGAUUGUGGCUCUGUGGUAUAGCACUUGCCUAGCAUGUGUGAGGCAUGGGUUCAAUCCCCAGCACCA